AAAGUCGUAACAAGGUUUCCGUAGGUGAACCUGCGGAAGGAUCAUUACUGCUUGCUCACGGCGUCUCUCCGGGAAACCGGGGCGGCGUCGGGCAUGCCACCCUUGUCUAUUCACACCAUUUGUUACCUCCCUCGGCGGGGCAGCCCGCCGCUGGGGACAACCAAACCCUCCUGUAUCAAGCAUCAAAAUCUGAAAACAAACAAAAUAAUCACAACUUUUAACAAUGGAUCUCUUGGUUCUG
Molecule: unclassified non-coding RNA, 241 nt
Filed under: Ascomycota sp.
Lineage: Eukaryota; Fungi; Ascomycota
Description: partial contains small subunit ribosomal RNA, internal transcribed spacer 1, and 5.8S ribosomal RNA
Rfam family: Eukaryotic small subunit ribosomal RNA (bases 1-47)
Source: RNAcentral